CGUAGGGCAAGCGUUGUCCGGAAUUAUUGGGCGUAAAGCGCGCGCAGGCGGCUUUUAAGUCCGGUGUCACAGCCCAAGGCUCAACCUUGGGUCGCACUGGAAACUGGAGAGCUUGAGUACAGAAGAGGAAAGUGGAAUUCCACGUGUAGCGGUGAAAUGCGUAGAGAUGUGGAGGAACACCAGUGGCGAAGGCGACUUUCUGGGCUGUAACUGACGCUGAGGCGCGAAAGCGUGGGGAGCAAACAGGAUU
RNAcentral lists this ribosomal RNA (250 nucleotides) under uncultured bacterium. Its description in RNAcentral is "partial 16S ribosomal RNA". It matches the Rfam family "Bacterial small subunit ribosomal RNA", at positions 528 to 779 of the family's 1533-position model. The record is from RNAcentral.